This 405-nucleotide long non-coding RNA is filed under the name Macaca nemestrina (pig-tailed macaque). RNAcentral's name for it is "lncRNA (ENSMNEG00000046060.1)". Lineage: Eukaryota; Metazoa; Chordata; Mammalia; Primates; Cercopithecidae. The record is from RNAcentral.
CUCUUGGACGUGGCACUCAGUACCAGGAUGAACCGAUUGAGUUCCUUCGACUCCAGAGGUUUCCCUGGGCACAAAGAUGUUCAGCAAGGACCUCCUUCUCUUUCCUCAGCUGCGAGGGCAGUGUCUUGGGGACCGGUAGUCCAUGACUGGCUGAGGAGACUGCCCUGGGCCACCUGCCACCAUCACUGUGGUUCCCUGUCAGCACCCUGUUGUUCUCAGUGGCGAGUUCUGCCCUUACGGAGACGCUACGCACAACUGAUGAGGAAUUCUCAGCAUCAUUUGGGGCUCGUCCGGAAUGUGGCUCAAGCAUACCCUUUUGAAAGCCUGGUGUUAUGGACUGCCUGUGCGUCCCCCCAAAAUGUGUAAGUCUUAAUCCUCAGUGCAACGGUCUUUGCAGGUGGGGUC